UCAUCGGUGGUUCAGUGGUAGAAUGCACGCCUGCCACGACGGGCGGCCCGGGUUCGAUUCCCGGCCAAUGCA
RNAcentral lists this transfer RNA (72 nucleotides) under Heliconius melpomene (postman butterfly). RNAcentral's name for it is "tRNA HMEL015457". It matches the Rfam family "tRNA". From Rfam's summary of the family: Transfer RNA (tRNA) molecules are approximately 80 nucleotides in length. Their secondary structure includes four short double-helical elements and three loops (D, anti-codon, and T loops). The record is from RNAcentral. Lineage: Eukaryota; Metazoa; Arthropoda; Insecta; Lepidoptera; Nymphalidae.